AGUGAACGCUGGCGGUAGGCCUAACACAUGCAAGUCGAACGGCAGCACAGGAGAGCUUGCUCUCUGGGUGGCGAGUGGCGGACGGGUGAGGAAUACAUCGGAAUCUACUCUGUCGUGGGGGAUAACGUAGGGAAACUUACGCUAAUACCGCAUACGACCUACGGGUGAAAGCAGGGGAUCUUCGGACCUUGCGCGAUUGAAUGAGCCGAUGUCGGAUUAGCUAGUUGGCGGGGUAAAGGCCCACCAAGGCGACGAUCCGUAGCUGGUCUGAGAGGAUGAUCAGCCACACUGGAACUGAGACGCGGUCCAGACUCCUACGGGAGGCAGCAGUGGGGAAUAUUGGGCAAUGGGAGCAAGCCUGAUCCAGCCACACCGCGUGGGUGAAGAAGGCCUUCGGGUUGUAAAGCCCUUUUGUUGGGAAAGAAAUCCAGCUGGCUAAUACCCGGUUGGGAUGACGGUACCCAAAGAAUAAGCACCGGCUAACUUCGUGCCAGCCGCCGCAGUAA
RNAcentral lists this ribosomal RNA (506 nucleotides) under uncultured bacterium. RNAcentral's name for it is "partial 16S ribosomal RNA". It matches the Rfam family "Bacterial small subunit ribosomal RNA", at positions 29 to 523 of the family's 1533-position model. The record is from RNAcentral.